RNAcentral lists this transfer RNA (108 nucleotides) under Gemmatimonadota bacterium. RNAcentral's name for it is "Gemmatimonadetes bacterium tRNA-Arg". Lineage: Bacteria; Pseudomonadati; Gemmatimonadota. The record is from RNAcentral.
GCGAGCCCUCCGCAGCGGCUGAAGCUCCCGGGCUCGCUUCGAUUCUCGAAAUCCUCGGGCGCCAGGUUGCGGACCUGGAGGUCGCACGUUCGAGUGGUGGCGGGCGCG